GCCACCGCCCCCGUCCCCGCUCCGCCCCGCUCCGCGGCUCGCCCCCUCCCCCGUCUGGCCAGACUGCGCGGCUCUGCACCUGAGCCCCGCCCCCUUCCGCCCCUCCCUCCCCUCCCUCCCCUCCCUCCCCUCCCUCCCCUCCUUCCCCUCCCUCCGCUCCCUCUCCUCCCCCACUUCCCGCCCACUCCCGCACACCUCUCCCCGCCGUACUGAGUGACCAGAGCGCGCACCAGUCACAAAGAAAGGGAGGAGCAAAGGAAGAGGGAGAGAGACAAUCUCAAGCCGACUCUCCACUGAGUGCGGAGCCCAGCACUGGGCUGGUUUCCCCAACCCAUGAGAUCACGACUCAAGCCAAAAUCAUGAUGAGCCAGAUGCUUAAAGAAAGAACAAGGAAAGAAUAAAGGAACAAAAGGAUGAGCGAAAAGUGAAGGAGGAGAAGGGAAGGAAAAAAAGAAAACACAGCAGGAGCAGUAAAGGAAGAAGCGGUGGAGUCCUGCUGCCUCUGUGUUGCAGUCACACAAUCUCGGGCCAGUUGCUUAAACCCUCGGAGCUGUGGGUUUUGUCGCUGGAAGAUGCGAUCCCACUCCUUGCCAGGCCUCCCUCACCAGUUCAUUACAAGGAGUUGCUGAGGAUGCAAUUGGCUUCCCCUAAGGGACCGUACGGGAAAUGAUCUGGAACAACACUGAAAAUCUGCAAAAGGUUUCGGAGCUUGAACUACAAUCCACAAUGAAGGUGGGAGUUUCCAGGAUGUGUCCUACUGUGUUUUCCCCGCUCCCUUUGGAACUUCCAUCCAUCUAUCUCUCUACUCCCUGCCGCAACUGGCACCACAUGCAGGAUACUCCGAAUAUCAAGUCCGGCAAGCAGUCGGGGUCUCCCCAGGAGAGGGCAUCCCAUCUGGAUGCCUCGUUUGGACCCCAGCAACCUGCGGCGUCGGGUCUGAGGGUUACGGCACCUCUACAACAUGUCAGACUGUUCGGCCGUCCUGGUCUUGCAUUCCCUGCCUCCCUAUCCCUGCUUUUGUUCUCUUGGGCUCUUCUGAAAACCACAUUUAUGUUCUUCACAUAUGGCAAGGAUUUUUGGUCAAAACUAAAAACCUAUACAAUGUGUUCCUUGGCAAAAGGAUUCGUUAAGCCAGGCUGGCUUCAACUUGAAAGAAAAGCUUUCAGUAGGCAGCAAAACAAAACAAAAAUCCCACAAACCACUCUGGCCACAUUGUAAUUCUUAUUCAUAAAAGCAAAACAUACUUACCCUUCACAUGUGUGCAUUAAAUAAAGCCCCCUUUCCCAGGGCAGGAAGGUGAGUGUUGGAGUCAUUAAAAUUUUUGUUCUCAAGCUACACGUGGUUCUAGAAAUCCACAUAGACACUUAACGUUUUUCUAACACGCUGGCUUUAUAGUAGGGAACUGAAUAAUUUUCUUAGGAAUUAACCCUCCGGCCAGAUGGCCCAAAGAGAACCCUGUAGAAGUGGUUAUCUGGGGACUGCUAUUAUCUACAGGGCACCAUGCUAGGGACCUUACACGUAGGUUUCUCAGAUUCCUUACCACUAGCCCAACAAGGUAGGUAGCAGGAUUAUCUCAUCCAUGGACAAGGAAACGGAGGCCUGGAGGUUAAGAAUCUCGCCCAAGACCUUUCAGCCCUUCUAUCAGGCUCCUCAUCACUGCUGAGAUGCCAGAGGCUUCCUAGUGUUCCCAUAAUCUUUGCCUCAUCUGGGUAUGUUUUCCUUUUUCUAUAAAGUGUUGGGAACCCAAGAUCAGGUUUGAGGGGGACAAGCAACUGGCCUUGGAGCAUGGGUCCCCCACAG
Long non-coding RNA from Mustela lutreola (European mink), 1800 nucleotides. RefSeq lists it as uncharacterized. The transcript is spliced from 6 exons. Lineage: Eukaryota; Metazoa; Chordata; Mammalia; Carnivora; Mustelidae. The record is from RefSeq and is a predicted model, not a curated record.